This 466-nucleotide ribosomal RNA is filed under the name uncultured bacterium. RNAcentral describes it as "bacterial SSU rRNA". It matches the Rfam family "Bacterial small subunit ribosomal RNA", at positions 917 to 1382 of the family's 1533-position model. The record is from RNAcentral.
GGGCCCGCACAAGCGGUGGAGGAUGUGGUUUAAUUCGACGCAACGCGAAGAACCUUACCUGGGCUUGACAUCCCGUGACCGCGCCAGAGAUGGCGUUUCCUCUUCGGAGGCACGGAGACAGGUGCUGCAUGGCUGUCGUCAGCUCGUGUCGUGAGAUGUUGGGUUAAGUCCCGCAACGAGCGCAACCCUUGUCCUUAGUUGCCAGCGAGUUAUGUCGGGCACUCUAGGGAGACUGCCGGUGAUAAGCCGGAGGAAGGUGGGGAUGACGUCAAGUCCUCAUGGCCUUUAUGCCCAGGGCUACACACGUCCUACAAUGGUGCCGACAAAGAGCAGCAAGCCAGCGAUGGUGAGCGAAUCUCAAAAACGGCAUCUCAGUUCGGAUUGCAGUCUGCAACUCGACUGCAUGAAGUUGGAAUCGCUAGUAAUCGCGCAACAGCAUGGCGCGGUGAAUACGUUCCCGGGCCUU